This 497-nucleotide ribosomal RNA is filed under the name uncultured bacterium. RNAcentral describes it as "partial 16S ribosomal RNA". It matches the Rfam family "Bacterial small subunit ribosomal RNA", at positions 28 to 507 of the family's 1533-position model. The record is from RNAcentral.
GAUGAACGCUGGCGGCGUGCCUAAUACAUGCAAGUCGAGCGAACAGAUAAGGAGCUUGCUCCUUGGACGUUAUCGGCGGACGGGUGAGUAACACGUGGUUAACCUACCUAUAAGACUGGGAUGACAUCGGCAAACCGGAGCUACUACCGGAUAAUAUUUCGAACCUCAUGGUUCGAGCGUGAAAGAUGGUUUUGCUAUCACUUAUAGAUGGACCCGCGCCGUAUUAGCUAGUUGGUAAGGUAACGGCUUACCAAGGCGACGAUACGUAGCCGACCUGAGCGGGUGAUCGGCCACACUGGAACUGAGACACGGUCCAGACUCCUACAGGGGGCAGCAGUAGGGAAUCUUCCGCAAUGGGCGAAAGCCUGACGGAGCAACGCCGCGUGAGGGAUGAAGGUCUUCGGAUCGUAAAACUCUGUUAUUAGGGAAGAACAUACGUGUAAGUAACUGUGCACGUCUUGACGGUACCUAAUCAGAAAGCCACGGCUAACUACGUG